RNAcentral lists this long non-coding RNA (1504 nucleotides) under Vulpes vulpes (red fox). RNAcentral's name for it is "lncRNA (ENSVVUG00000016697.1)". The record is from RNAcentral. Lineage: Eukaryota; Metazoa; Chordata; Mammalia; Carnivora; Canidae.
CUAAGUGUCCACCGGUCCCCCCCAGCCAUCGGGCCCGACUCUGUUCAAGUGGCACUACCCCAGCUGAGACACCCCCUCUCCCAGACCCCCUUGCAGCGACAGGGCCACAUGACCCCCUCUGGCCAAGGAAACAUAAACAGAUUCUGCAUUCUCAGGAAUGGCCUGUGGCUUCCGUGCCAGAGGUGCCCCCCAGCUCCUCUUCCCUCCCUCCCGCCUGGAGGAGAAGCUGCCCCUUUAGGAUCAGAGGGUGAUGAGCCCGUGGCAGACUGAGGAUGCAGAGCCGGGAGACGGAAGAGCAGGGCCCCCGAAUGCAAGUGAUUGAUCCACACUGGCUCCGCACUGCCUGCCUCUGGGCUGUUGGUGAUGUGAGCAAAACAAACCCAUCUUCAUUUAAGUCACCCUUAGUCGCGCUUCCUGUUACUUGCAACUGAAAAGAGUCCUAAAUGAUACAGAUGGUUUGUCAGAGUGGGGCUGAGGAAUGGGACAGGCAUUCGUGCAGGAGGAACGGCAGGAGCAAGUGGAGGAGAGCAGAGGCGCACAGAGACGGCGCGGCGGCCAGGGCUGCUGCUUCUCCACCGUCCAGCCAACUCCGGAUGACCAGUCGUGGCAGCCUGAGGGGAAGCCUUCCGGAAGAUUCCAGCGAAGGAUUCCAGAGUUCUAAGAAAACACCCGAGAAUGGGCAACCUGUCUUUCAGACAUUCUUCACAUCUGGAACUGCGGGCAGCCAGCUCGUUGUCAGGAGGGGACUUGGCCUGGGGACGAAGCUCAUGUCCCAGAGAUCCCAGAACAGAAAGCGGGAGAGACCCAGAUUCCUUAACGCUAUCCCUGAGCCUCCGUAUUACGCCCACUGCAGCUGCCUCAACUCCUGGAUCCUUUGCGUGGUGGUCAGAUUGAAUAAAGCAGACAGCUAACCAGGAAGGCCGUGACGCAGGCUGGAAUCGUGAGUAUGGUCAAGCACCAGCAACAACGGCAUGUUCCUUCGUUGCCAAGCUUGUCACAGCUUUCCAGCUCCUGUCAUUUCAAAGCACCGUUAUAAUUUCUCUUUUGCAUUUUGGAGCCACUGAAAGGGUCAGCAGGCUCACAGAUAUAGAGGGAAUCUAGCCAAGUCCCCACCAUCUGGCACCACCCAGGAGACAGCAUAUGCUGUGGCGCUCUGCAUGCAGCAUCCCUCCAAAUGCCUCCAAAUGAGAUCCUAAAUGCCCCCCAGCCAAGCGCAGGUGGUCCCUGAGGCCCCGCUGAGGAGUGUCAGUCCCCUACAGCUGAUCGGUUCCCCCAUGCCCUCUGUCUUCUGGGGCUUUCCUGAGCCAACAGCCCAAAGGGGACCACUUGGAAGAAAACACUCUUUUUCUUUUUCAGGCUGAAACAGUGCCCUUCGGGCAGGAGGUAUGGAAAAAUAACUGACAUGAGACCAGACUUGCAAGCGCGGGGCACGAACAUGGCACCUACCACGUCCAGGCACUGUACACGGUGCCAAGAACACAAAGAUAAAUAAACCCUGGUUCAU